This 728-nucleotide ribosomal RNA is filed under the name Staphylococcus xylosus. Its description in RNAcentral is "bacterial SSU rRNA". It matches the Rfam family "Bacterial small subunit ribosomal RNA", at positions 56 to 767 of the family's 1533-position model. Lineage: Bacteria; Bacillati; Bacillota; Bacilli; Caryophanales; Staphylococcaceae. The record is from RNAcentral.
UGCAGUCGAGCGAACAGAUAAGGAGCUUGCUCCUUUGAAGUUAGCGGCGGACGGGUGAGUAACACGUGGGUAACCUACCUAUAAGACUGGGAUAACUUCGGGAAACCGGAGCUAAUACCGGAUAACAUUUAGAACCGCAUGGUUCUAAAGUGAAAGAUGGUUUUGCUAUCACUUAUAGAUGGACCCGCGCCGUAUUAGCUAGUUGGUAAGGUAACGGCUUACCAAGGCGACGAUACGUAGCCGACCUGAGAGGGUGAUCGGCCACACUGGAACUGAGACACGGUCCAGACUCCUACGGGAGGCAGCAGUAGGGAAUCUUCCGCAAUGGGCGAAAGCCUGACGGAGCAACGCCGCGUGAGUGAUGAAGGGUUUCGGCUCGUAAAACUCUGUUAUUAGGGAAGAACAAAUGUGUAAGUAACUGUGCACAUCUUGACGGUACCUAAUCAGAAAGCCACGGCUAACUACGUGCCAGCAGCCGCGGUAAUACGUAGGUGGCAAGCGUUAUCCGGAAUUAUUGGGCGUAAAGCGCGCGUAGGCGGUUUCUUAAGUCUGAUGUGAAAGCCCACGGCUCAACCGUGGAGGGUCAUUGGAAACUGGGAAACUUGAGUGCAGAAGAGGAAAGUGGAAUUCCAUGUGUAGCGGUGAAAUGCGCAGAGAUAUGGAGGAACACCAGUGGCGAAGGCGACUUUCUGGUCUGUAACUGACGCUGAUGUGCGAAAGCGUGGGGA